Long non-coding RNA from Corvus hawaiiensis (hawaiian crow), 2113 nucleotides. RefSeq lists it as uncharacterized. NCBI's taxonomy places the organism in Eukaryota, Metazoa, Chordata, Aves, Passeriformes, Corvidae. The transcript is spliced from 2 exons. The record is from RefSeq and is a predicted model, not a curated record.
UGGGAAAGAGACUGGAAGGAGACACAGCCAGGAUAGUUGACCUAACUGGAUGAAGAUAUAUCCAUAUCACACAGCAUCAUGUUCAGCAACAAAACAGGGGGAAUAAGGAGGGAAGAGAGUCCUCCAAGAAAGAAAAUGGAGGAGGAAACACUGAUGACCUGUGACUCCAGAAUAUUGCUCUAUACUCAGUAAUGAACCUGCUUCUGGAUGGAGAGAUGGGAUUUGGGAAACACUGAGGAACCUCUCCCAGAAGAACAUGAUUUGCCACGGGAUGGACAUUGAGUGUAAAUCGCUGUCCUUAAAUCUCAGACCUGUAACAAGCUCCUGGCCCACCCACUCUAAUUCGGCUGAUGCUGAAUUGUCAUAUCCUAGAGGUUUUCUUUGAAUUUUUUAGUUUGCUUUUGGACAUAGAGGCUCUUAACUAAUUAAGAACAACUCUUAAGAUUGAGGUACCUGUUGGUGAUACCCAGUUAAGCUUGCAUCACUUUCACCAAAGACUGUGGGUAAAAAUUUGGCCUCACAGAAAUUACUGCAUAAAACUCCCAUGAGGGAGGCUGAGAUCUUGUCCCAUAAGAACAGACAAAGGUCAACGGCCCUUAGCAGCCUUUUCAUUUGCCAAAAGAAGGCCUAAAUCCUUAAUUUCAUUCAAAAUUUGCACCUAUAGAUAGAUUAGUAGUUUAGCUAACACCUAAAACUUGCAACAUAUUUUUGCUGUCUGACAAAGAAUCCUGGAGUCUGGAGAAAGGCUAAUGCAGUCGAACAGUAACAAAUUAUUUAUAAAUGAGCAUCAGGCCUUGUGUUGCCUUGCCAAGGCCUGCUUGGAAAUGCCCAUCAAUCACCUUUAACUGGUGUGCCUAAUCUCCCACUUCAAUUUAAGGGCCUUUUUCAUCUUUUUUUCCUGUAAAUAUACCGAGUUUUUGCCUCCUCACAGAGGAACUGGUGAAGGUCAAACAUCAGUCCCUCUUUUUAUACUGGACGAUUUAAAGUCUAUAACGAUGAACUCUAUAUUGAAUGCUUUUCUUAGUUCAAGAUGUUUCUAACUUGGGCUUUUCACAAACUGUUAUUGAUCUCCGCCUCCAAACCAGUAAAUCCUUUCGUGUAGUAAUUCCAUAAAUACAGCAGAGUUGGGAAGGCUUUGAAUGUUCAUUUGAUCAAAAAGAUCCAAAUCUGUCAGAUAAAUCUAUAGCUCUUGGUGGCAGCUUUGAAGGUGUUCAAUCAUCUUUCCUCGGACACUAAAUGAAAUGCCUUGAGUUCAUGUUUAAUUUUUCUUGCUGUGCUUCCAUGACAUCUGUCUUAAGUAUAUUGUCCUCAGGUGACUGUUAAUUCAAUAUAGUUUGCAUUUCUCAUUACGAGAAAGAGGUUAUCCACUUAAUAAAUUUAACUAACUCUUUUCUCUUCUUUUAAUUAAUGGUCACAGACAGAUAUUUCAGGAGGAUGGAGGAAGUAGAAUAAUUACCUGAAUAUGCCUAAUGUCUUCCUGUAAAGUUCUUUAAAAACUGGGUUAGUAACCUCUAAUUCCUAUUUAUUUGGACUAUUUAUAAUAAAGCCCAUAAGAAUCUCCCUUGAAAAUAUUUGGAUUGGGUGAAAUUGACUUCUUACAGGCACAAAAAGAGGCAGCACUGGCUACUAAUUUAGAUGUAGGGUCUGAAACUGAUUGCCAAGCGCUCUUCUUGGCUCCUUGUUCUUUAGCUGCUUGGCAAUUUGGGAAAAGUAGCUGCCUCAACAAUUAUAGCUGGAGGGACUUCUUCAAUUUGGUAAUAGAUGCCUGUAUUCUGUCUGUAAUCUCUGUAUUUUUACUGGUAACAUAAUUGUCCUGCUACCUGGAGUAUGUCCUUUCUUCGCUCUAUAAGGUGUGGAAACAAUAUUACAGAGAUGAGGAUAAGGGGUGUUUUUCUGCAGAAAUGAACUGUCAUCAGAUUCAGAAUAUAUCUCUUUUAUUGCACAUCGUUUUAUCAUGCACUACAAUAAAUGUUCAAAAACACAUCAUGCAAAGUAUCUCUCAAUGACACGUACAAAUCAAAAACUCCUUACUCUAUUAGGCAUUAAAAACAUCUAUUCAUUAGUGAUACUAGUUUUUACGGCAUUUUAUAACUUUCCUUAUUUCUGAGGCCUC